GACGAACGCUGGCGGCAUGCCUAAUACAUGCAAGUCGAGCGAACAGAUGAAGUGCUUGCACUUCUGACGCUAGCGGCGGACGGGUGAGUAAUGCUUAGGAAUCUGCCUAUUAGUGGGGGACAACAUUCCGAAAGGAAUGCUAAUACCGCAUACGCCCUACGGGGGAAAGCAGGGGAUCUUCGGACCUUGCGUUAAUAGAUGAGCCUAAGUCAGAUUAGCUAGUUGGUGGGGUAAAGGCCUACCAAGGCGACGAUCUGUAGCGGGUCUGAGAGGAUGAUCCGCCACACUGGGACUGAGACACGGCCCAGACUCCUACGGGAGGCAGCAGUGGGGAAUAUUGGACAAUGGGGGGAACCCUGAUCCAGCCAUGCCGCGUGUGUGAAGAAGGCCUUUUGGUUGUAAAGCACUUUAAGCGAGGAGGAGGCUACUGGUAUUAAUACUACCGGAUAGUGGACGUUACUCGCAGAAUAAGCACCGGCUAACUCUGUGCCAGCAGCCGCCGUAA
RNAcentral lists this ribosomal RNA (505 nucleotides) under uncultured bacterium. RNAcentral's name for it is "partial 16S ribosomal RNA". It matches the Rfam family "Bacterial small subunit ribosomal RNA", at positions 28 to 523 of the family's 1533-position model. The record is from RNAcentral.